This 268-nucleotide unclassified non-coding RNA is filed under the name uncultured fungus. Its description in RNAcentral is "sequence contains ITS2". The stretch from base 1 to 52 matches the Rfam family "5.8S ribosomal RNA", at positions 103 to 154 of the family's 154-position model. The record is from RNAcentral. Lineage: Eukaryota; Fungi.
AACGCACAUUGCGCCCGCCAGUAUUCUGGCGGGCAUGCCUGUCCGAGCGUCAUUUCAACCCUCGAACCCCUCCGGGGGAUCGGCGUUGGGGAUACGGGACCCCUCACACGGGUGCCGGCCCCGAAAUACAGUGGCGGUCUCGCCGCAGCCUCUCCUGCGCAGUAGUUUGCACAACUCGCACCGGGAGCGCGGCGCGUCCACGUCCGUAAAACACCCAACUUUCUGAAAUGUUGACCUCGGAUCAGGUAGGAAUACCCGCUGAACUUAA